GGAUAACAUACCGAAAGGUAUGAAGGCACAUGACUUUGACUCAUGUAUGCGUAGGUUCGAGUCCUGCAUCCCCA
This 74-nucleotide transfer RNA is filed under the name Clostridioides difficile. RNAcentral describes it as "tRNA-Gln". The stretch from base 10 to 67 matches the Rfam family "tRNA", at positions 10 to 63 of the family's 71-position model. From Rfam's summary of the family: Transfer RNA (tRNA) molecules are approximately 80 nucleotides in length. Their secondary structure includes four short double-helical elements and three loops (D, anti-codon, and T loops). Further hydrogen bonds mediate the characteristic L-shaped molecular structure. tRNAs have two regions of fundamental functional importance: the anti-codon, which is responsible for specific mRNA codon recognition, and the 3' end, to which the tRNAs corresponding amino acid is attached (by aminoacyl-tRNA synthetases). tRNAs cope with the degeneracy of the genetic code in two manners: having more than one tRNA (with a specific anti-codon) for a particular amino acid; and 'wobble' base-pairing, i.e. permitting non-standard base-pairing at the 3rd anti-codon position. The record is from RNAcentral. Lineage: Bacteria; Bacillati; Bacillota; Clostridia; Peptostreptococcales; Peptostreptococcaceae.